UAUCAAGCACAGCAAUAAAACAAAAACCCAUGUAUUUAACUUUUUUUAGGUUUUUUGCUUUUGUGAUUUUUUUUGAUACUUGCCUAACAUGCAUGUGCUGUAAAAAUAGUUAACAGGGAAAUAACUUGAGAUGAUGGCUAGCUUUGUUUAAUGUCUUAUGAAAUUUUCAUGAACAAUCCAAGCAUAAUUGUUAAGAACACACGUAUUAAAUUCAUGUAAGUGGAAUAAACGUUUUAUGAAUGGACUUUUCAACUACUUUCUCUACAGCUUUUCAUGUAAAUUAGUC
Molecule: long non-coding RNA, 286 nt
Filed under: Homo sapiens (human)
Lineage: Eukaryota; Metazoa; Chordata; Mammalia; Primates; Hominidae
Source: RNAcentral